RNAcentral lists this ribosomal RNA (433 nucleotides) under uncultured bacterium. RNAcentral describes it as "partial 16S ribosomal RNA". It matches the Rfam family "Bacterial small subunit ribosomal RNA", at positions 29 to 507 of the family's 1533-position model. The record is from RNAcentral.
AACGAACGCUGGCGGCAUGCCUAACACAUGCAAGUCGAACGAGACCUUCGGGUUUAGUGGCGCAAGGGGGGGUAACGCGUGGGAACCUGCCCUUAGGUUUGGAAUAAAUCCCCGAAAGGGGUGCUAAAACCGGGUAAUGUCUUCGGACCAAAGAUUUAUCGCCUUUGGAUGGGCCCGCGUUGGAUUAGCUAGUUGGUAGGGUAAAAGCCUACCAAGGCGACGAUCCAUAGCUGGUCUGAGAGGAUGAUCAGCCACACUGGGACUGAGACACGGCCCAGACUCCUACGGGAGGCAGCAGUGGGGAAUAUUGGACAAUGGGCGAAAGCCUGAUCCAGCAAUGCCGCGUGAGUGAUGAAGGCCUUAGGGUUGUAAAGCUCUUUUACCCGGGAUGAUAAUGACAGUACCGGGAGAAUAAGCUCCGGCUAACUCCGUG